UACGUAGGGUGCGAGCGUUGUCCGGAAUUAUUGGGCGUAAAGGGCUCGUAGGCGGUUUGUCGCGUCGGGAGUGAAAUCCACUGGCUUAACUGGUGGCUUGCUUUCGAUACGGGCAGACUGGAGGUAUGCAGGGGAGAACGGAAUUCCUGGUGUAGCGGUGAAAUGCGCAGAUAUCGAGGAGGAACACCGGUGCGAAGGCGGUUCUCUGGGCAUGUCCUGACGCUGAGGAGCGAAAGUGUGGGGAGCGAACAGG
Molecule: ribosomal RNA, 253 nt
Filed under: uncultured bacterium
Lineage: Bacteria
Description: partial 16S ribosomal RNA
Rfam family: Bacterial small subunit ribosomal RNA
Source: RNAcentral